This 225-nucleotide long non-coding RNA is filed under the name Jatropha curcas. RNAcentral's name for it is "long non-coding RNA (JCUR_LNC003310)". The record is from RNAcentral. Lineage: Eukaryota; Viridiplantae; Streptophyta; Magnoliopsida; Malpighiales; Euphorbiaceae.
CAAGCAAGUCCGUGCAAACAGAGAAGCAACUAUUGAAUGAAUUCUUGACAGAAAGCCUGAAAGGAAAGACCAUGCUAGUUUGAAAAGUCUGACUUGCCCAACUAGAAAAAGAGUAUGUUUUUUCUAAGAAGAGUAGCUAUCAAAAGGCAGGUCUCUUUGAAUCUUCUAUCUUUCUUUAUCUCCAUUGAGAAGAUUGACGCCAGUCGAGCAUAAAGCAUAACUAUC